UCAACGGAGCUCCCAGGUUGAGUCUUGAGCAGGUUGGUCAGGAAGGCUGAGGUGGGGCAGGUGAAGGUGGAGAGGGCAUGAGAGAAAGAUCGAGAGUUCAGACAUGCAAAGCAGUAAAGCUGAAAUGCCUGCAGCACAGCCAAGGAGGCAGCUGAAUAUAGGAAACCAGAGCUCAGAGGAGAAAUCUGAAAUGGUUCACAUAGCCUAAUCAUGAAAAAGACACCAGACAAAU
RNAcentral lists this long non-coding RNA (232 nucleotides) under Homo sapiens (human). RNAcentral's name for it is "non-protein coding lnc-ADAM2-3:1". Lineage: Eukaryota; Metazoa; Chordata; Mammalia; Primates; Hominidae. The record is from RNAcentral.